This is a long non-coding RNA of Engraulis encrasicolus (European anchovy), 1038 nucleotides long. RefSeq lists it as uncharacterized. NCBI's taxonomy places the organism in Eukaryota, Metazoa, Chordata, Actinopteri, Clupeiformes, Engraulidae. The transcript is spliced from 4 exons. The record is from RefSeq and is a predicted model, not a curated record.
AAAACAUGUAUAGGCCUAUACGUGGCUGAUUGACCAAAAUGACUGAGCUUUGUUAAACAAACACGUACGACAAUGCUAGCUUGUUAUUAGCCCAAGGCAGCAUGCUGAUCUUUCAGUGUUUGAUGAUCUGUCGGCUUGUCAAGUAACUUAAUUAUAAUUUGAAUGCCAUUGCUUUUGAAAGCAAAAUGUGUCUGUUUGGCGUGCGUCAGGUGUAAUUCCCUCCUUCCGUACCGUAGCCAAGUCCUUACAUCAAGAUGAGUAAACAUUUCACUACCAUUCUGGCACUAUGCUGGCCAGUGGCCACAUCGGAAAAGCAACGUAGUCUAGCUGUGUUCCUCCGUCAACUGUUAAAUAUUGUUUGUUUCUGUGUUGCCAAAUUGCCAAGUUGCUAGUUGGUGAUGAAAUGAUGGUCAUUGGUACGUUCGUUUUCAGUAUGCAAAUUGCGUCAUUAAUGUUGACUGUACUGAGUGACGAGUGCAUAGUGUAAUGCAAAUUGUGUCAUUAAUGUUUAAUUGUAGGCCUACUGACGAGUGCAUUGUGUAGUAAACAUUUCCCCAUCCUCAUGUGACAUGGUUUCAUUCUGUAGGCAAACAACAAACCACACUUCACCUGGAAAACAGAGCCAGGACUCACUGUCAGAUGUCUGAAAAUGUACAGUAGGCUACACGCCAGCAGGUCUCACCAUAGUCAACAUCAUCAAGGAUUGUCACUCCGACCUGAGAAGAGGCCCCAUAGAGACACGGACAAGGACCAGCCACUGUUGCCAGUGCACAACUGAGGACCCGACCAGCCUGCUGCCAUCUAUGAUAUAUAGUACCCGCGGAGCGGUCUGAAGACGUGGAGUACACUGCAGCAGGUAUCACAUGACCAAGGACUUGGACAACGUCUCUGUUUACAUCUAUAGUGUAUUACACAACUGAAGAUGUGCACAGUACGCUACUGCCUGCAUCCUACCACCACAGAGGAUCCGAUAUGCAGAACCAGCUUCAAAAACCAUUGCAAUUAUGAAACACAGUUAAUAAAUGCUUAUAUACAGCA